UGCAAGUCGAGCGGACAGAAGGGAGCUUGCUCCCGGAUGUUAGCGGCGGACGGGUGAGUAACACGUGGGUAACCUGCCUGUAAGACUGGGAUAACUCCGGGAAACCGGAGCUAAUACCGGAUAGUUCCUUGAACCGCAUGGUUCAAGGAUGAAAGACGGUUUCGGCUGUCACUUACAGAUGGACCCGCGGCGCAUUAGCUAGUUGGUGAGGUAACGGCUCACCAAGGCGACGAUGCGUAGCCGACCUGAGAGGGUGAUCGGCCACACUGGGACUGAGACACGGCCCAGACUCCUACGGGAGGCAGCAGUAGGGAAUCUUCCGCAAUGGACGAAAGUCUGACGGAGCAACGCCGCGUGAGUGAUGAAGGUUUUCGGAUCGUAAAGCUCUGUUGUUAGGGAAGAACAAGUGCAAGAGUAACUGCUUGCACCUUGACGGUACCUAACCAGAAAGCCACGGCUAACUACGUGCCAGCAGCCGCGGUAAUACGUAGGUGGCAAGCGUUGUCCGGAAUUAUUGGGCGUAAAGGGCUCGCAGGCGGUUUCUUAAGUCUGAUGUGAAAGCCCCCGGCUCAACCGGGGAGGGUCAUUGGAAACUGGGAAACUUGAGUGCAGAAGAGGAGAGUGGAAUUCCACGUGUAGCGGUGAAAUGCGUAGAGAUGUGGAGGAACACCAGUGGCGAAGGCGACUCUCUGGUCUGUAACUGACGCUGAGG
This 712-nucleotide ribosomal RNA is filed under the name Bacillus aerophilus. Its description in RNAcentral is "bacterial SSU rRNA". It matches the Rfam family "Bacterial small subunit ribosomal RNA", at positions 56 to 751 of the family's 1533-position model. Lineage: Bacteria; Bacillati; Bacillota; Bacilli; Caryophanales; Bacillaceae. The record is from RNAcentral.